RNAcentral lists this ribosomal RNA (404 nucleotides) under Actinomycetes bacterium. RNAcentral's name for it is "Actinobacteria bacterium partial 16S ribosomal RNA". It matches the Rfam family "Bacterial small subunit ribosomal RNA", at positions 355 to 776 of the family's 1533-position model. The record is from RNAcentral. Lineage: Bacteria; Bacillati; Actinomycetota; Actinomycetes.
UGGGGAAUAUUGGACAAUGGGCGCAAGCCUGAUCCAGCCAUGCCGCGUGAGUGAUGAAGGCCUUAGGGUUGUAAAGCUCUUUUAUCCGGGACGAUAAUGACGGUACCGGAGGAAUAAGCCCCGGCUAACUUCGUGCCAGCAGCCGCGGUAAUACGAAGGGGGCUAGCGUUGCUCGGAAUCACUGGGCGUAAAGGGCGCGUAGGCGGCGUUUUAAGUCGGGGGUGAAAGCCUGUGGCUCAACCACAGAAUGGCCUUCGAUACUGUGACGCUUGAGUAUGGUAGAGGUUGGUGGAACUGCGAGUGUAGAGGUGAAAUUCGUAGAUAUUCGCCAGAACACCGGUGGCGAAGGCGGCCAACUGGACCAUUACUGACGCUGAGGCGCGAAAGCGUGGGGGGCAAACAGG